CUAUUUCUCUCUUUAUAUCUAUUGAUAUUUGCUUAAUAUUUUAAGGUUGGGUACAUGUUAUGCCCUUUUAUUCCCUCUUGACAAACUAAAUUUUAUCAUUAAUUAAUUAUAAGUUUUGCCUUUUUUCCCCCUCGUACCAGGGAUCGAAUUCAGGACCUUGUGCUUGCAAGGCAGGCGUAGCACCACUGAGCUAAAUCCCUAGCAAGCAUUGCCUUUUGUGCAGAUUCAGCCCAUUGUUGACUGGCUCUAAGGCAAGAAAGGCAUGGUGGAAAGGCCAUGGUGGAAGAGAACUACUAACAUGGCAGCCGUGAAGCAGGGAGGAGAUCUCUGGACAAGGCAUUGACUGCAUCUUCUUGGAGCGCAUCAUGGACACUACUCUUUUGUGUUUGAGAAGUUUCACAUUAGAGAUUGAGUCAUGAAUUACCAAUCUGAGAAAAAAAUGAAUAAUUAAAUAGCUAGAUUUAUAUUGGCAUUUCACAGAGUUAGAUAUUUGAAAUUCCAGCAAUUAAGGAAGGCAAGUAAUUGAAAUUUUUCAUCUUUAAGAAUAAAUUGACAAUUUUCUUCUUAUAUCCAAUGUUAUCUGGUUCACAUGGGCUUAGGCACAAUGAUGGUAGCACACAGAGGAGGUCAUUGAAAGGCUCCUAAUUUGAAGAUCAGCUAUCUCCCAUCCCCAAGAAGAUAGAGAAAGCAGGAAAAAAAUCAGUAUCAAAUUGAUAGGCUUGGCCAUCUGCAGAUGUUUAACCCUAAGAGAUUUCUGUAAAUGGUUGCUAGUAGAGAUGAAUGAAACUCCCAAAUGCAAUAGAAAUAUUUUGAAAGGAGCCUCAACUUUAAAAUGCCUAUAAUGCAAUGAUAUUUGUGAUAUCCAAAGUAAGACUCUACCAUAAGAGGAAGCUGAUUUGUGUAUAUAUGUGUAUAGAGAAAACAAGAAUUGGGAGGUUUUAUCUGGCACCUUCAUGGAAAAGAUGCUGUCCUGGAAAGCACUGAUAUUCUUGGUAUUAGAUGUGUUAGUGCUGUUUCAAGGCAUGGAUCAUUUGUAGACUUCCUCAAAGUCUAAAUUGUGUAUUCUUUCUACCUACUUAACUAUACUUCUGAUCUGUGUUCAUUAAAUAGCCAAUGUGCUACUCUAGUUUCCUAGGAAAGUUUUGCCAGUUAAGUGGAAGCAGCAGCAAAAUGUGAUCGUUAAGAAGGUAGACCUCGAUGUUAGUGGGUUCAAGUCCUGGUUCUUCUACUUCUGAGAUGUGUAGCCUUGGGCACAUUAUAUAAUACUUCUCAUCUUAUCUGUAAAAUUGGGAUAUUUGUAGGCCCCGUCUCACAGAUUUGUUAUUAACUUUAACCACCUUUUCUGUAUAUAAAGCAUUUAAAAUUGUGUUUGGCCCAGAGUAGAGAUAAUUUACAUUUUAUUAACUUAAAAAUGAUAAGAUGUAACUUGUCCCCACAAGUUUUUAGGUUACUAUAAGCAAAAUUUCAGUUUGUUUUACACUAACAACAGUGUAAGCCCUAGUAAAUUUGAUUAGUUUGAUUCAGUCACCUAAACAAAAACAAAGCUUCCUCAAAAAUUAAAUCAACUAUCUGCAGAGUCUGUGUUUAAUCAAAUGAACGUUAAAUUCUGAUACCUGCAUUUUAAAUUGUAAUGCCUAAUGUAAGAAAAGGUAAUAAUAAUGCAAUUUAUUGUUGCAUAAUACAUGU
Long non-coding RNA from Heterocephalus glaber (naked mole-rat), 1686 nucleotides. NCBI's taxonomy places the organism in Eukaryota, Metazoa, Chordata, Mammalia, Rodentia, Bathyergidae. The record is from Ensembl.